GAUGAACGCUGGCGGCGUGCCUAAUACAUGCAAGUCGAGCGAACGGACGAGAAGCUUGCUUUUCUGAUAUUAGCGGCGGACGGGUGAGUAACACGUGGAUAACCUACCUAUAAGACUGGGAUAACUUCGGGAAACCGGAGCUAAUACCGGAUAAUAUUUUGAACCGCAUGGUUCAAAAGUGAAAGACGGUCUUGCUGUCACUUAUAGAUGGAUCCGCGCUGCAUUAGCUAGUUGGUAAGGUAACGGCUUACCAAGGCAACGAUGCAUAGCCGACCUGAGAGGGUGAUCGGCCACACUGGAACUGAGACACGGUCCAGACUCCUACGGGAGGCAGCAGUAGGGAAUCUUCCGCAAUGGGCGAAAGCCUGACGGAGCAACGCCGCGUGAGUGAUGAAGGUCUUCGGAUCGUAAAACUCUGUUAUUAGGGAAGAACAUAUGUGUAAGUAACUGUGCACAUCUUGACGGUACCUAAUCAGAAAGCCACGGCUAACUACGUG
Molecule: ribosomal RNA, 497 nt
Filed under: uncultured bacterium
Lineage: Bacteria
Description: partial 16S ribosomal RNA
Rfam family: Bacterial small subunit ribosomal RNA
Source: RNAcentral